Molecule: non-coding RNA, 30 nt
Filed under: Homo sapiens (human)
Lineage: Eukaryota; Metazoa; Chordata; Mammalia; Primates; Hominidae
Source: RNAcentral
ACGGCAGUUAUCGCCUAGUCACAGGGGCAG